CAGACUGUUCAGGUGAUAAGCAUAAGCAGGAAUCAGCCCUCCCCGAGGACUGGUGUCCAGACUGAGAUGUCCGUGUGCCCUCCGCUGCUUUGUCAAUGUUGGCACCACGUGGCUUUGGGGUGCAGGGCUGGACACCCCCACAGCCACCCUCCACUCCUGUUUCGGGGCUCUGGGGCUGCAGGCCGGCCGUUUGACAAAGCCAGAGCCCCUGGCCGCAGCCCGCAGUUCUCUCCAAGUACAGUUUCGGGGAGUUUUUCACAAUGAUUCAUCUCAUGCAGUUGAUUGUUUUAAAGACACGAGCCGUCGCCGGAGAUUCCCUCUGAUUCUUAACCUCAGUCUUGCCUGAGGCGAUUUGACAAUUCAGAGCACCGCUCACUGGGAGCCCCGGGAGAGCAUGGGGAACAUGGCUUUGCGGUCCAAGGCCGGUGCGAACAUCUCGAGAUCUCUGUCAUCCUGCCAAGGCAACUCGGAUACUGAGCACGGCAAGUGUGCGCCACGUUCCCCUCUGCAGCCGUGGUCCCUGACCUUUAGGGGAAGGUCUUCAAAGUGUUCCCACAACCAGCCCGGCAACCCUGCUGGUGCAGCCACCUCGGGUCUGAGAUCCGGGGCCGGAGUAACCACGCAGGAUGGGAAAGGGCGUGGGACAGCGUCUGGGGCAGCUUCUCUGCUAAUUAGCAAGACGAGCCCGUGAGACCGCCUGACAGAUACACGCUUGACGUUUUUGAAUAAAA
RNAcentral lists this long non-coding RNA (731 nucleotides) under Ursus maritimus (polar bear). Its description in RNAcentral is "lncRNA (ENSUMAG00000023666.1)". The record is from RNAcentral. Lineage: Eukaryota; Metazoa; Chordata; Mammalia; Carnivora; Ursidae.